UACGUAGGGUGCAAGCGUUAUCCGGAAUUAUUGGGCGUAAAGAGCUCGUAGGCGGUUUGUCGCGUCUGCUGUGAAAACUGGAGGCUCAACCUCCAGCCUGCAGUGGGUACGGGCAGACUAGAGUGCGGUAGGGGAGAUUGGAAUUCCUGGUGUAGCGGUGGAAUGCGCAGAUAUCAGGAGGAACACCGAUGGCGAAGGCAGAUCUCUGGGCCGUAACUGACGCUGAGGCUCGAAAGCGUGGGGAGCAAACAGG
RNAcentral lists this ribosomal RNA (253 nucleotides) under uncultured bacterium. RNAcentral describes it as "partial 16S ribosomal RNA". It matches the Rfam family "Bacterial small subunit ribosomal RNA", at positions 524 to 776 of the family's 1533-position model. The record is from RNAcentral.